This 253-nucleotide ribosomal RNA is filed under the name uncultured bacterium. RNAcentral describes it as "partial 16S ribosomal RNA". It matches the Rfam family "Bacterial small subunit ribosomal RNA", at positions 524 to 776 of the family's 1533-position model. The record is from RNAcentral.
UACGUAGGUGGCAAGCGUUGUCCGGAUUCAUUGGGUUUAAAGGGUGCGUAGGCGGCCUUGUAAGUCAGUAGUGAAAUAUCACAGCUUAACUGUGAGGGUGCUAUUGAUACUGCAGGGCUUGAGUACAGACGAGGUAGGCGGAAUUGACAGUGUAGCGGUGAAAUGCAUAGAUAUUGUCAAGAACACCGAUAGUGUAGACAGCUUACUAGGCUGUAACUGACGCUGAGGCACGAAAGUGUGGGGAUCAAACAGG